This 2504-nucleotide long non-coding RNA is filed under the name Populus tremula. RNAcentral describes it as "long non-coding RNA (PTRE_LNC003471)". Lineage: Eukaryota; Viridiplantae; Streptophyta; Magnoliopsida; Malpighiales; Salicaceae. The record is from RNAcentral.
AAAAAGAAAAGGGGAGGGAAAUUUUUCAGAUUUUCCUUCAUCAAGCCUAGGAGAAGACACCUAAUUUUCUAUUCCAACACAAACCUUAGAAUUUCUACGUGGGAAGACAAACUUGGGCAGGAGAUUUGCAAGAAGAAAAGUGACAUAAUUUCUAAGAGAAGAAGGGGUGGGAGGCCGGCUGCUUGUAGAGAAGAAAGGGGUUAUGAAACUUUAAUCAAAUCAGAAAUCAAACCUAAAUUUUCCUCCAGGUAUGAAGUUCUAAACCAAUUGGGAAAGAUAAAUUAAAUUCAUGCAAGAAUUGUGCAUUAAUUUGAAGUUUGAAAGAUUAGGGUCCUUGAGUAAAAUUUGGGGAAAUGUGGAAUUGAUUGGAAUUAAAUGAGUUGAGCAGCAUAGGUUGCCUAAAAAGGAUGGAAUUAUGCAAAGAAGUUUUCAACAAAAUCAAAGAUUAUGGGGGAAAUAGUGGCCGGCCAUGGGAUUGUAAGAAAAGAAAAGAAAUUUUGAUAAUUUGCGUUGUUUCUCUUAUUGCAAAAAUUAAAAUAGGUUCCAGAGGUGAAUAAUAAGGAAAUGUGGUGAUUGAGUGUGUGUGUGUGUAAAACAAAAAAAAAAAAAAAAAAGAGAGAAGGAAUUGAUUUAAGGACCGGUGGUCACUGGAGGGGAAGGAAAAACAAAACAGGGGAGGUGAACGUAUGACUCCCCUGUUAAUUAAUUAAGUGUGCUGAUGUUGUAGUUACAAAUUGUAACUUAUAGGGGAGAGGAACCUACGUUCCAGGUAAGGAAAACACGGCUGAAAUUGAUGGGAAGUAGGAUUGGAGAUAAAAAAAUUGUAGGCACCUUCUUUAUUGACAAAACAGGGCAGGUUCAUUUCCCUAGUUCUUGAGGGAAUCUGGACCUGAAGAUGAUAGAAUUUAGGGAGGGUCCAUUCAUAGAAGAUGUAGCUGGGAGUGUUAGCGUUCCAACGAGUCCGACCCCGCCUAAUUUGGAGUCCUAGAACUCCGGAUACAAAUGAAAAUCUGAGGAGAGGUCAAGCUGCCACCCCGGUUGGCAGUUUCGGCCAAGUCCAUAAAACGGUGAAAUUUAGCCGUAUUAAGGGUAAAAUUUGUUUUCUUUCCCUUCAUAAAGUGUGUCUUGAUCUUUAAAAAAAAAAAAGAAGAAGAAGAAGAAGAAGAAUAAAACUGUAAUCAAAAUUGAAUUUAUGAUGUCCAGACAAAUGGGUCGAAAAUGUAAAAGGAUAAUGAUGAGGAAUGAAAGUGAGAAAGAAAAGAUUGAUAAAAGAGAAAUGAAUAUUAUUGCCAUUUUUGCUGUUGUGUUGUGAUAUGUGGACUAAUAUGGAAUAAUGAUGGGUGUUUAUGGUUUCAGGAGGAACCGCGGGAGGAGUGCAACAACAGGGAAGCGCAAGUCGAGCGUCUACAGCAGGUAGGUACUCGAUACCUAUAUCUCCUCUUGUUAAUAAUUGUUGUAGCUAAUUAUUGAACUAUAUAUAUAUAUAUAUAUAAAGAAGAAGAAGACUUGGUUCAUAUUGAUGAGGAAAAGAAAAAUGGGGAAAUGAAAGGUUAAAGACGGGAAAAUAGAAAUGGAGGACUAAAUUUAAAUUAUGGUUCCCUUUGGAGGAAAUGAACUGUGACUACGAAUUUCGAUAAUGAUUGUUUCUCGAAAUUGAUUAGCCUGUCCCUGAUAUGGGAGGCUAAUGAUGUUAGCCAAGCUGGUUAACAUCGGCAUUACCGGUACGUGGGGGGAGAAUUAUGAAACUUGAUUAACUAUUCGGGUUCAGAAUAGUUAAUGAUAUCGGCGGGUGACGUCGAUAUCGGCAAAAUUUAUAAACUUGAUUAGCUUUCCGAGGUGAAAGCUAAUGAUGUCAAGAAUCCUUGACAUCGGCAUACCCGAUGACCUCCGUAGGUAGCAAAGAACAGUGAUUAAUUAUUUUGGUUCAAAAAAAAAAAUAUAUAUAUUAAGUGACAUCAAUAGUCAUGUUAGUGUCGGCAUUUUCAUGAGUUUGAUUAGUUGACCUCAGGAUGGACAACUAAAGACACUAAUGGAGGUCGUUAGUGUCGGUAUAGUCUUCCUAAGGUGGGGAGAAGUAGUUAUAGGAAAUAAACUGGAUAAUCCUCAAAAGGGAUGGUGGUGGUGUAUUGAAAUUGCAUAUGACUUAAGUAGGUAGAUGUGCUAUAUAAUUUUUCUUCCAUGAAUUGUUUAUAUUUUAGUUAUUUUUAAUUUUAUGGAAAAUUUGUGUUUUGCAGGUCCCUCCCAUUCACGUCAGGAGUAGAAUUUAGGUUACUUAUCCCUUUUGUACAAGUUAGGAACUUAAGGAUCUUUCAUGUAAUUUUGUUAUGCAGCAAACAUGUAACCUGAAUAGAAUAGUAUGCUCCUUAUAUUAUUUUUGCUUUUGGAAUAUUAAUGUAUUAAUCUAUACUUGGAGAAAAAAAUUUAUAGCGUAAUAGCUUAUGUUCAAAACGCUAAACUGUGUUGUGAUUAUAUAUUAAAUUUUAGUGCUUGGAUGGUCCUCUUAA